UUGGAGUACCUCACAAUCCACAAUGGAUGUCGUUCAGCCUGAUUGCAUGAAGACGCACGUUAAUGCAUGAUCCAAACCCUAGCAAGGGUUAUGUUCGUACUUUGAUCUUUCUCUAAUUUUCUGUACUUUUAUGUUUCCUUUUGGAUUAUUUUGUUUAUUUGAAACUGUUUUCACUAUUGCUACGUAAUUUUGUUGAUUAAGUUAAGCAGGUGAAGGUGGAAGUACUAAUAUUAUGUUUAUGGGACUACCUUACUCUUUCAUUCUUGGAAUAUAUACCAUAUUGUUUUAUUUUUAUUUUUUUGAUGUAUCAUGUAUGCUAUAUUGUUGUCAUAUUCAAUUAAACUCAUGAGACUUGAAAUAUCUGCGUUCUAAUGGUUUGUGCAACGUAUUAACCAAGAGUAGCAUACGAAAGAAAGUUUCUCAGACGUCCAUCUUAUAACACAAAAUGAUAUAUCUCAUCAAAAUGCAAAAUGAUACAUAUACUUUAAUAGUUUUUUUUUGAAAGGAAACGUGAAUACUUUAAUAGUUUAACAAUACAUAUAACAUACAAAAAAAAAUUAAAAACCAUUUUGCGGAACGACUAAAAUCUGUAUGUAGAUUGUUCUCAAAAAUUGACAAGAGUACAACCUGGCGUUGUCGGUGGGUACGGUACUAUAAAUUAAUGCGUAUUUUUUAAUUUUAAUUAUUGUCGAAGAUUUAGUCAUUCGAGAAAAACUGCCACAUUGAGUUGGAAAAUAUGUGGGACGUGUUGAUUUUCGAAAAUAAUAACCAUACGAGAAUUAAGUGAAAUUUCAAAAUCAAAAUAUAAUACACAUGCAGUCAUGAUUAUAGUCUACGGAUAGGUACCUUAUCACUAACCGACUAAGAAAUUUAUCUUAAACCACAAUUAGACCUAAAUUCAAAUGGUGAGAAUAUUAGUUUUUAAGUACAGUUGUUUGUUUUUUUGCAACCUUUAGAUGUAAUUCUAUGGGUGAUCGGGUGAUGGAACAAAGUUUAUUUGGUUACAGCAACUAACCAUCAUAUUGGAAGUUUGUCAACCUAAACAAAAUAGUAUUGAGGGCAUGUCUUCCAUACACUUGAUAAGUUUUUUUCUAGUAUUCUAAUUAAAUAUAUAGAAUACUAGAAUUGACAUUGUGACUUUAUGUAAUCGCAUUUUGGCGCUCUAAGUUUCAAAUCCUAGUGCUUUUGGAUAUGUCUACUUCCUAUCUUAGAGAUAACGUUUUAACGUCAUUCUCGUCUCCUUUUCACUAUGCAACAAGAGGUUUCUAGGGUUAUAUAUUUUGGCUUUUCUUUUCUAUCCAACAAAACGUUCAAUGACACGCCGUCGUCAAACGGGAUUUGUUGGCGACCGAACUGUUGCGUGGUUGUACCCAAUAGCAGAACCAGAUAUUCAACUCAUGUGGGGCACUUAAAAAACUAUAUUAGAAAUAAGUCAUAUACAUCCACGGAAAAAUCUUCUGUACCGAACGGCAUGCCAUGCCGAACGGUUUUCCACCCUUAGAUCCCUACCCUGCCCCACCCCCACACCCCCACCCCCCCCUGUUGAACGGUGCAGAUCCGGACGGUAUGCCAUACCGUCCGGUACGGAAGACAAUCCCAUACAUCCACCUUAUGUUAGUGAUUUUUAAAAGUUUAUAUUAGCUUUUUACCUCGCGCAGGAUCAAAAAGUCAUUAUGAGUGGUUAAUUUUUAUUUAUCAUCUUGGUUUUUGUCGUCAGAAUUUGGUACGAAUGAAGUUAUCACUUUUGACUAUGAUUAUAAUUACUUCUUAAACAUUAAGAUUUAGCUAAUCUUUAAGUUAAUGUAAUUAAUCUUUAAGAUUUAGUUAACUAUAAUGUAAUUAAUCUAAUUUUAUUUAUUUGUAGGAAAUAAGUGGAGCUGUGGAUUUCGGGAGAAAAUGAUGCAGCGUUAGAGCAACAUAUAGUUUCCGAGAAAUUAAAGAGAGCUGGGAUAGUGGUUAAGCUAAUUAAUCAUUGGGGGAAGAAAUCAUCUUCAUCCAUGACUAGCACGUGAGUACCAGACUUCACCCCAUUUUGUCACCUUUUCCAGUCAUCUCACGCCACGUGGCAACUUGCUCUACUCUUUCUAUAGUGUUGACCGAGAGACCAAAAAAAAAAAAAAACCUAAUCCCAUUCUUGGCUAAAGAGGCAGCCGCACAAGGACUCAUCCUCUCUUCCCUUUCUUCUUGAUGAACGCAGCCGCACCACCUCACCUCAUUUUCACCGGUCUCUCCCAAUUUUCAUACUUCCAUUUUCAUCUCAACACCAUUCACCUCAAGGCCACCAUUCUCCUCAAGACCACUUCAUCUUCAAAAGAGAUUAAGAAUGAGCUCUCACCAACAUCAUCAAAACUUCACCAACUCAAAAGAUUUUUAUUUUUGGUAAAUAGAGGAGACUUAAUAUCAAGUGGGUUCAUGAUUGCUUAUAGCAAUUUGUGAACCUAACCUCUUUUCUCUAACCCUUCUAUCAAUUUCUUAUGUAUAGAUUUGUUAAUGGGUAGUGAGUAGUUUGAUUUUGGGAGUUAGGGUUGUGAAGCCCUAACUCAUCUUGUAAUGACAUUGAUACUUUAAUUUUAAUAUAUGUAUUUUCAUUGUGUAUGCUUUGAAUCCGAAUUUAUUGGUCCUUAUAAGCAUGUUUCUAGGCUUAGUCACCAUUUGAAAUUAUGUUGUGGGCAAUUGUGAUGAGUAGAUUAAUGAGUUGACUACUUGUUAGUCUUGUGGCAUCUAAGAUUUAAACAUGGUAACCAUUAGCUAGCUUAAUUGUAGCUAAAUCUGCUUGGGUCUCUAUUAUCUUGCACUCUAGGCCUCUAAUUUAGAUAUUACGGCCUUAACCGGCGUAGUGCCUAAAUUAGAGAGUUGAUUGUGGCCUUAACCGGUAUAAUCGAUACACCGUAAGGAUAAUUGGUCUAGUAGCCCUAACUGGUAUUAGAUACGAGACUUGACACAUUAGGAAAUGCAUGCAUUUAUGAGGUUGGCGUCAAUAUUUGCAAGAGGGUUACUGUGGAUCACCCGACACUCCCAUGUCCCCAUUGAUUUGAAAAACUAAAUUUACUUUCUAGCUUGUUAAUUAGUUGUUUACUUUUCAUUGUAGUUUGUAUUAAUUUAGUUUUCCCCAAUUCAACUUUUAUUCAACUAUCGACUCAUUUGUGUAUAAUCACCCUUGGGGUUACAAGUUAGUGGUCUUGAUUAGGCUUAGUGCGAGCAAGGCCGAGCAUUGCCAAGGAGUGGUGCUGCCUUGAGUGUUUGGUUAUAAUUUUCUUUGUCUUUAUUUUAUUUUUCUUGUGUGCCUUUUAGUACUCCUAAGCCGAUUACCUUGGUUAGGUCCAACCUAAUCCUCAUGGUACGAUAACUAAGGUCUAAAUAACUCCUUUACUUGACACGAUUCGUACUCUUGCGAGUUUAUGAUUCAAGUCAGACUACCGACGCCGUUCUACAAAAUUAUCAAUUGAUUUUUCUUUUGUUUAAGUAUUUUGUUUAUUACGUACUAUAAUAACUCUUUAAUUUAGAUACUUCAAUUUACACAAUAAGAGUGAUACUGACAAUACAUAAUUUGGUAAAUCUUUUGAAUGCUUAGCUUUAUUGUAGUUGAGAUACUUUGUGGUAGUAUGAAGCUAAAUGAAUCAAUUUCUAAAUGCAUACAAUAGAAUUCUAGCUGUAGACGGUAGCAGAAUGAUGGCUACCUGGCCCAAAGACCGUCCGAGAGCCCAUCAUGAAAACAACAAGUAUGGUCAAAUUCUGGGAAUAAUAUGGGCUAAGGCGAAGCAAGACUAGAGCACCGAACGAAUGCCUAUGUAAACUGUUUAAAGGAAGGUACAUUUAUCCCAUAUUGAUCAACAAGGGAAGUGCAAGUCAACACAGGGCUAUAAAUAAAGCAGAAAAUCAACAGAACAUGUAACAUUAAUUACGUUAGUAGUUACACUUUCACCUACUAAAUAUUGACUUUACCAUCAAAGGGGGUAACACCGAAAAGUCCCGAUCAUUAUUCCUUACCGUAGGUUGCAUGUGGUAAGAAGAAGAAGCCUAUCCCAGACACGUGCCGAGCUUCUAUUGACCUUACGGGAUCACGCAGAAACAUUUGGCAUCGUCUAUAAGAAUUCUUAAUUAACGUGUCUCGAUGGCUGAGCAUCGCAAGCAAGAAGCCAGAGACGAAGCAGAUUUAGGGGACCUCCAACGAAGUCUAUUUGAAAAAACCCCCGAAAACUACAGCGGGGAGUUCAAGGAUCACGGAAAAUCAACAACGGGAGCAUGGAGACCAGCAAUGAGAACGAACUUUAGAUAGGGAGUUUUUACAUGCUCUUCCAACACAAUAACUAUCUUUUACAAAUUGCUGGUAUGCCAUCGUUGCAAAACUCUAAGGCUCGGAAGAGUUUACUUAAUCCUAUGCAUGGAAAUUAUGGUAAAAGUGGCGUAUGUCUCGGCAAUAGUUACAGAGCACUUAUAUCUACGUUCAGUGCAUAAGAUUGAAAAUCCUGAAGAUUUGGUGAGGGAACAGUCAAAAAGAGAAGUGAACAUUGGUUGCCCCAAAUUAAAAUAGAGAAGUUUGAUAAUAUUGGUGAAGGGCACACAAAAUAUAUAGAAUUGUUAAAAGCCAGAGGGCAAGGUUUAUGAAGAGUGGGAAAGUAUUUCAAGAAAGUUGGAGAUGUAGGUUAGGAUUGUUAUUUUCUGCAAUAUAAUGAGGGUGCUGAAAUUCACACACCCAAAUUUACAAACCACGCACCCCUCAUAUUUUUUAAUGUUGUACUUUCUCACUUCUACACUUCCUAAAAUACCCUCGAGUCCUUUUCUUUUCUCUCUUUCUCCGCCAAGAAACAUGAACAGAAACGUCCAGCACUUGCUCAUGUCUAAUCUGUGCUCAUCCCAUUUCAUCCCUAAAUCCUCUAACUUCGACCAGGCCUGCAAAUGAGACCCAUGCUGGAACGCUUAUUCCCGAAGCAAUCCACAACCCAACUUAGCGUCAUUCAAUUCUAUCUUUUCUCUCCUCCCUCAUCUUCCUCCCUUUUCCCAUACGAAUCCUUCGUCAUCCAUUGAAGCAAUUCUUUAUUGGAUUCUGAUCCCCUCAUGAGCGUACGAUUUCGAGAUUGAAUCAAAAAAAUGAAGAGGGAGAAGCCGAAGCAUCGAGACUUGAAGUAGAGUGAUAAUCAAGAUGAAACCAUCUCCCAGAUCAAUAUAUGUGAACCAACUGAGUUAACAAUUGGUGGCUUUAAUCAAGAUGAAACUCCUCACAUUUAGUUUCUUGGUAGGAGCUGUAAUUAGGAUUUCAAAAUUAGGAUUUGAAAGUAGAAAAUCCAAUUUGAAGCAAUCGGCCAUUAUUGGCCGCAUAUGGGGAGAGAUUGAUCAAAAGUCUUCCAAUAGACUAGAAUGGGUCUAAUCUAGAUCAUAUGAAUCUAGUAUAUACUUAAUGAUACCAUCCAAAAGAACCAGGACAAUAAGAUGAACAAGAAAAGCUGAUAUUUACCCAGAUCCAUGGUCGGCUUAACCAUAAUGAGAAUUGGCUCUGGUGGAUUUUGAAGAGAUUGAGAAAUCAAGAGGCAAAGAUGGGUCAUACAUCUAUAUUGCUAAUUAGUAUUCAAUCUUAGAAUGGAAAUUGAUUUCACAAAUGUGCAAGANNNNNNNNNNNNNNNNNNNNAAGAUAUUUAUUUAAUUGAAUGGUCUUCAUGUAUUGCUUCAUUGUUUUUUGUUUUGUAUAUUCAUAAUUUUAUGUUUUUUAAUUAAACAAAAUCAAUUAUCUUACCUAUAUACCUGCCACACCCCGGUUUCGAUAUCGGUAGGUUUUAAGCACCGGAUGCCGAUUCUGAAGUGUGGGUGUUACAAUGCAGAAUGUAAACACAAGCACUAUCUUCUAGGUUCGUCCAACCCAUUUCCUAGCUCGGUCAAAUCUAAAUACUUCUCUGCAAAAAAAGUAUUAGAGAUGAGUGAGUGAGUGAGCAAAACCAUGCGCUCAGUGAGUAAACCAAUGUAAUAUGUUUGCAAAGGUUUAUCAUUUUACACACGCUACAAAAUAUGUAUAUCAUAUACACGUCAGUUCAAGCAAUUCAUCACAUCACACAAUCCCUUUUUAUUGGAUAUCUUUCAAUUUAGUGAUUCCCACGGGAACCUAAUGACUUUCAAGUAUUAUACCACCGUAUGUCACAUCCUUACUUCGGCAUAACCAAUCAAGAAGUUUACAUGUUUCAUGACUAAUCAAAAAAUGGUUUUAGCACAUAAUUAUUUAUAAACUCUACAUAUUUUGCAAAACAAUAUGCUUCACUAGAAAACUGAGAGAUAUUUCGUAAAUAGAUCGAAAUCAUGUUUUUCGACUAAUUUGAUAGCAAAUAAGAAUAUUUAAAACACAUUACACAAAUCCACUCACCUUGAUAAUACGAAUUCCCACCAAGAACAUCGAUCGUAAACCGAGCCUUCUAAAACGAGUUAUCUAGAAAUCACCAUUGGAUCUAACCCAAACCUCAACAGAUAGAAAGAGGGAAUCAAGACGAAUCCGUAGCCUUUUGCAGAUUUAGAAUCGUAGUUACGGAUCAAAAGUUAUGAUCCGCUGAAGUUUUAGAUCGAUAAACCGAAAAUUCUAUAUAGAGAGAGAGAGAGAGAGAGAGAGAGAGAGAGAGAG
Molecule: long non-coding RNA, 6598 nt
Filed under: Fragaria vesca (wild strawberry)
Lineage: Eukaryota; Viridiplantae; Streptophyta; Magnoliopsida; Rosales; Rosaceae
Description: long non-coding RNA (FVES_LNC000386)
Source: RNAcentral